UUUAAUUAAAUAAUUUAAGUACCAAAAUAAAGAAAAAUUUUUGAAAAAUUUAAUACAUAUUUUUUAAAAUUUUUCAGGUAAAAAUCAAAGCAAAAAUGAAGUCAAAAUAUCCUAAAAAAUCUUUAAAAUAGCCUCUGAUGCAUGGUGGAUCGGCUGGUCGGUCCACAGAGCUAGGAUGCGGUCUGUCAAAAAUAAUACGCGAUCCACAGAUGCAGUCUAUGAGCGGUGGAAGCCUCUUUUACGCAAUCCAACUGCUGAGGAUGCUCCCGACUUUGAAUAGGAGAUCAAAAGCACAGAUCCGACGGCCC
Molecule: long non-coding RNA, 308 nt
Filed under: Elaeis guineensis (African oil palm)
Lineage: Eukaryota; Viridiplantae; Streptophyta; Magnoliopsida; Arecales; Arecaceae
Description: long non-coding RNA (EGUI_LNC067211)
Source: RNAcentral